This 533-nucleotide ribosomal RNA is filed under the name uncultured Lysobacter sp. RNAcentral describes it as "bacterial SSU rRNA". It matches the Rfam family "Bacterial small subunit ribosomal RNA", at positions 382 to 906 of the family's 1533-position model. Lineage: Bacteria; Pseudomonadati; Pseudomonadota; Gammaproteobacteria; Lysobacterales; Lysobacteraceae. The record is from RNAcentral.
CCUGAUCCAGCCAUGCCGCGUGAGUGAAGAAGGCCUUCGGGUUGUAAAGCUCUUUUGUCCGGAAAGAAAAGCUUCCGAUUAAUACUCGGGAGUCAUGACGGUACCGGAAGAAUAAGCACCGGCUAACUUCGUGCCAGCAGCCGCGGUAAUACGAAGGGUGCAAGCGUUACUCGGAAUUACUGGGCGUAAAGCGUGCGUAGGUGGUUCGUUAAGUCUGAUGUGAAAGCCCUGGGCUCAACCUGGGAAUGGCAUUGGAUACUGGCGGACUGGAGUGCGGUAGAGGAUGGUGGAAUUCCCGGUGUAGCAGUGAAAUGCGUAGAGAUCGGGAGGAACAUCUGUGGCGAAGGCGACCAUCUGGACCAGCACUGACACUGAGGCACGAAAGCGUGGGGAGCAAACAGGAUUAGAUACCCUGGUAGUCCACGCCCUAAACGAUGCGAACUGGAUGUUGGGAGCAACUAGGCUCUCAGUAUCGAAGCUAACGCGUUAAGUUCGCCGCCUGGGGAGUACGGUCGCAAGACUGAAACUCAAAG